UACGUAGGGACCAAGCGUUGUUCGGAUUUACUGGGCGUAAAGGGCGCGUAGGCGGCAAUUCAAGUCAGCUGUGAAAUCUCCGGGCUUAACUCGGAACGGUCAGCUGAUACUGCUUUGCUAGAGUGCAGAAGGGGCAAUCGGAAUUCUUGGUGUAGCGGUGAAAUGCGUAGAUAUCCUAAGGAACACCGGUGGCGAAGGCGGCUUACUGGGUCUUAACUGACGCUGAGGCACGAAAGCCAGGGUAGCAAACGGG
Molecule: ribosomal RNA, 253 nt
Filed under: uncultured bacterium
Lineage: Bacteria
Description: partial 16S ribosomal RNA
Rfam family: Bacterial small subunit ribosomal RNA
Source: RNAcentral